RNAcentral lists this non-coding RNA (175 nucleotides) under Escherichia coli. The record is from RNAcentral. Lineage: Bacteria; Pseudomonadati; Pseudomonadota; Gammaproteobacteria; Enterobacterales; Enterobacteriaceae.
CAGGCUCUUGAACUGACAGGUUUGCCACAUUUGUGGUAGGGAAGGGGGUGAGAAUCCCCCGCAGCCCCCGCUGCUGUGAUGCUGACGACCCCGUAUGGACCACUGAUCGCAAGAUUGGGAAGGACGGGUGAGGAUGACGCUAAGCCAGAAGACCUGCCUGUCAGUGACUACCAAC